AUCAACACGUUGAGUAGGACGCGUCGAUCGAGUCAUACCUACGAAGCGACUUAGGGACGGUGAGAGCCUAAGAGAAAGACUCGAAUCGGUAUCCCCUAUGAGUCGUCACGCUGAACCAGAGUAAGCGUGACCGCCUGACCUCGUUAUCGGUUACCGAGAGCGGUCUCAUGAGAGUGAGACUAGUAGGGUGGUACCGCGAGUCAACCAACUCGUCCCUAUC
This is a non-coding RNA of Exiguobacterium sp. AT1b, 220 nucleotides long. NCBI's taxonomy places the organism in Bacteria, Bacillati, Bacillota, Bacilli, Caryophanales. The record is from Rfam.